UUCCAGACUCCUACGGGAGGCAGCAGUGAGGAAUAUUGGUCAAUGGGCGGAAGCCUGAACCAGCCAAGUCGCGUGAGGGAUUAAGGCCCUAUGGGUCGUAAACCUCUUUUGUCAGGGAGCAAUGGCGUCCACGUGUGGGCGUAUGGAGAGUACCUGAAGAAAAAGCAUCGGCUAACUCCGUGCCAGCAGCCGCGGUAAUACGGAGGAUGCGAGCGUUAUCCGGAUUUAUUGGGUUUAAAGGGUGCGCAGGGGGAAGAUCAAGUCAGCGGUAAAAUUGAGGGGCUCAACCUCUUCGAGCCGUUGAAACUGGUUUUCUUGAGUGAGCGAGAAGUAUGCGGAAUGCGUGGUGUAGCGGUGAAAUGCAUAGAUAUCACGCAGAACUCCGAUUGCGAAGGCAGCAUACCGGCGCUCAACUGACGCUCAUGCACGAAAGUGUGGGUAUCGAACAGGAUUAGAUACCCUAGUA
Molecule: ribosomal RNA, 466 nt
Filed under: uncultured bacterium
Lineage: Bacteria
Description: bacterial SSU rRNA
Rfam family: Bacterial small subunit ribosomal RNA
Source: RNAcentral